UUCUCGGAGGUGUGGGCAGCCUCUAACACUUCAACUGAUGGCAAUCUGAGAUUAGCCAAGAAAGAAAGGGAAUUCUACGCCUUUCGGAGCAGGUCAUUGUUCAUCACUCGGGAAGGAGACCUUUCCAAGGUGUAGCUCAGAGGUGGGAAAAGACACAAUAGAAGACAAGUUCAAGGAAGAAGAAGAGCUGUUUCAAGCUUGACACUGCUCAGUGGCCAACGGCCGGUGAAGACAGGAGCCCUGCUUGGCUACAUUAGCCCGGCCCUUCUCUAUGACAGCUUGGAAGACUGGUGGGGAUGAUGCGGGGUGUGGGGUGGGGGUGCAUCAUGAUGGUUCAUUUCAAGGAUACUUCAAGCUCUUGCGUCCCCGUCUUGCCGGACUUUCCUCUCCUCUCUAGCUAUAAAGCGGCAGCCUGCUAUUAAUGAGGUCCCAAAGGGGAAAGAAAUUUCUGUAACUAGGCACUGCUCAGUUCCAUCACUGUUAGGCUGGCCCCACAAAGCCUCUUCUAGCAGAAACUACAAACUCACAGGAACUAUUCCUGCAGGACAAAGGAAGUUCUCUCCGCGGGAAUCCAUUAUGGGGUCUGCUUCCCUUCCCCCAAGUCUUAAGCCCUGAGAUUAUAUUAAAACUUUGUCAUCUCGGAAACACACCUAUGCAUUCAUUCACACAUAGGCAUGGCCGCAUGUCUGCAGGCAUAUGCAUGUAAUCAUGCACUUAGGUAAACUUUUAAAGGGAUUCUACAAGGGAAGUUCUACUUGAGAAUUAGUUCUUCCUAUGGCCUGGUAUAUAAAUGAGAAGGUUAAGUUCACAAA
Panthera uncia (snow leopard) is the source of this 812-nucleotide long non-coding RNA. RefSeq lists it as uncharacterized. The record is from RefSeq and is a predicted model, not a curated record. NCBI's taxonomy places the organism in Eukaryota, Metazoa, Chordata, Mammalia, Carnivora, Felidae. The transcript is spliced from 2 exons.